ACACAGAAUACCAAUGACUCUUAGACUCAUUCCCGGGCCUCCGGCUGACCACGGGAAAGGGGAUCUUCAGGAGCGGGUGUCUCAUGGCUGGGAAGAGGACGGCACAGGAGGGCUGGGGAACCCGAAUUGCAGCCUGAAUGGCCAGUGUCCUUUCUCCAGAAUGCAGUUCUCCCUUGCUCAGAAGAAAUGAGUCUGCCAGUGGGUACAACAUGAGAUGAUACUUCCACCCCCAUUGGUGACAGCCCUCACCUAGCUAUCAAGACAGUGUUCGACUUCCUUCACUCCUUCCAGGGGCCAGCAUGUGGCUGGCCACUGUCCACCCUCAGGGGUUGUGAACUGAAUUAAAGGGUUGCGUCCUUCAUCCAUUUUCUUUGCUGAACUGUCUUGAAUUUUACCCUAAGUUCAAAAUGAAGCAGACCAUAGCUGAGUUUAAAGGAGAUCCGAUUGACAUUGGGAAGUGGCACCCAAUAAGAUGGCUGUUUCUUCCGCCUGCUCCAGGGCUCGCCAACAGGAGAACUGAAAGCUGAAGCAUCUCAACCUGCAGAUACAUCUCAAAGGCCCCUUCAGCCGAUGUCCUCAGUGCCCUUGACACAGCCCCUUGGCACUUGCCUUCCACACACAUGCUGCUGCACCAGUUUCCUCCUGGUAGCAUCUUCCUUUCCGCCUGAGGAUUUCCCAGGCAUCCUGCCUCCAAGAAAGUCAGAAGUCAGUGCCUUCCUGAGAGCCGGUGAGAGCUCCGUCUCCCUUGGGCAAGUGGUGCUGAUGCCUGUUCCCUGCAUCCAUCUCUCAGAAGCCACAGCAGAACUGAGCUCCAGGGGCCACUGCGAGAAGCAUUUAUGGAGCUCGUGGAGUGAGGCAUCUCUUUAAUCCCUUCAGUAAGUCAGUGUGGGCCAAGGAGUCUGAGGAUCAGAGACCUUGUGACUUUUUAAGUGAAGAUUUACUAUGUGCUGGGGCCCAUUGUGUUUUAUUUUAUUGACUCGUCCCAAGCUCUAAGAGGGAGAGACCUUGAUUGUCCCAAUUUCACUGACACAGUUUGGGAAGGUUAAAACAUGAUGAAAGGAAAUAGACUGGAAUGAUACAGUAAUAUGGAAUUGAGCAUUUUCACCAACAUUUUUACAUGUUUUAAAAUGUCAUUUUCUGGCCAGGGGUGGUGGCUCACGCCUGUAACCCCAGCACUUUGG
This 1181-nucleotide long non-coding RNA is filed under the name Homo sapiens (human). Its description in RNAcentral is "HSALNT0400038". Lineage: Eukaryota; Metazoa; Chordata; Mammalia; Primates; Hominidae. The record is from RNAcentral.